RNAcentral lists this ribosomal RNA (253 nucleotides) under uncultured bacterium. RNAcentral's name for it is "partial 16S ribosomal RNA". It matches the Rfam family "Bacterial small subunit ribosomal RNA", at positions 524 to 776 of the family's 1533-position model. The record is from RNAcentral.
UACGGAGGGGGCGAGCGUUAUUCGGAAUUAUUGGGCGUAAAGGGCGCGUAGGCGGCUUGAUGUGUCAAAGGUGAAAUCCCUCGGCUCAACUGAGGAACUGCCUUUGAAACUGUCUGGCUUGAGGCCGGGAGAGGGUAGCGGAAUUCCCAGUGUAGCGGUGAAAUGCGUAGAUACUGGGAGGAACACCGGUGGCGAAGGCGGCUACCUGGACCGGUUCUGACGCUGAUGCGCGAAAGCGUGGGCAGCAAACAGG